GUCCUCGUAGCUCAGCUGGAUAGAGCAUCUGCCUUCUAAGCAGAGGGUCAUAGGUUCGAAUCCUAUCGAGGACGCCA
This 77-nucleotide transfer RNA is filed under the name Alphaproteobacteria bacterium. RNAcentral's name for it is "tRNA-Arg". It matches the Rfam family "tRNA". Rfam says of the family: Transfer RNA (tRNA) molecules are approximately 80 nucleotides in length. Their secondary structure includes four short double-helical elements and three loops (D, anti-codon, and T loops). The record is from RNAcentral. Lineage: Bacteria; Pseudomonadati; Pseudomonadota; Alphaproteobacteria.